UGAUGUGUCUUGGAUUGUUAUUUGCACUGUCUAUUCUCUUUUGGGUGUCGUGGAUGUUAUUGACACUGUUUACUUUCUGUGGGCGAGGAGGUCGGGUUGAGUUACUGACAGUGUUCAUUUUCUGUGGGCAGCAAUGAAGCUAUAUUCCCGAAUAAGUCAAUUUAAAAGAACAACAGAAAAAUACUGUGCAGAUACAGAGAUGGAGAAAAACAGACAUUGUGCGAUCAAUACAUCUAAGUCAGCAGCUUUCAAAACCCGAAUGAAUUCCCAAGUCUGCUCCCGAUGCAGCCAGAGUAGACCAGUGCUCUGGUCCCAGUUCAGCACACCAGCAUGAAAUGUGUGACUGAGGGAUCAGUUUGCCGUUCAGCGCCAUGGAGAAAAGUAGAGACAUUCUCUGGAGACUGAGUGAAAGCAGCCUAUCUUCGCCUCUCUACCCAGCCGUCUGGCUUCCAAUCUCUCUGUGCUGACGUUUAAACUGUAGUGUCCCGGACCCAGCUGGAGUGUCGCAUCCAGUCCGAAGCCAUACUGGAUGUCAUGGAAUUGGCUUGGCGUUAGGAGUGAUCCCACCUUGCACACGGGUUGGGUGGACAGGCUUCGAAACUUUUCCGCAUGGACUCCACUCCAAAUCACUCUCUCCAUCUCUGGCAGUGAUCCAAACUCUGUCCAUGACCCCAGCUCAAACACGUUGUGCCUCACUGUGCCCCAGCACUCCUCAUCCCUCGAUCCACCCUGACCUCCGCCUGCCUCCUCACUGAGGCAGUAGUUCACCACAGUUUCCUUCUAAGAAGAUGCUAUAAGCAAUGUUUUAGUUGAACCUUUUGUCUUAUGAUGUACCACUCAGCUAUUAUAUGUCUUCAGUGGAGCCAUCUUAAACAGGAAUAAUGAUUUAAUGAGCUCAGUUUCUACUGUCGCUUGAAUGCUUAUCUCCCAAAUAUGACCCUUCCAUCAUGUGACAGCAUAAUCUUAAGAAAUUCCCUCACUUGUUUUUAAUUGCAAUACGUAACCUUGUCUUGUUGCCAAUUCUUUGCCUUUCACCUGCUUUGUAAUCGUGAAAUAUCUUAGUGCCCUGCAGUUCUAGCUUUUGGUAUAGUACUGAUGUUAAUCACUGCACUGUUGGAGUUGUGACUUCAGGCCUCAGGCUUUAUAACCUCUUCUUUUUAUCUCUCUUUCCUACCCAUUUGACCAAGCUUCUGGCAUUUUCCCUCCCCCUAUCCUUCUCACUUUUCUCAUUCCCGAAUCUUGCUCCCCUCUCACUCCGUCCUUUCUCUUCACCUGCCCAUUAACUCUCUCUGGUUUCACUCCUUCUUCCCUUUCUCCCAUGGUCCCCUCUCCUAUCAAAUUCCUUCUUCUUCAGCCCCUUACUUCUUCCACCUAUCAUCUCCCAACUUCUUACUUCCUUUCACCUCUCCCAAUCAUCUUCCUUGGCCUCUCCCUUGGUCUCACUUGUCACCUGCCGGCUUGGACUCCUCGUCCUCCACUCGCUUUCCUAUUCUAGCUCCCUCUCCCUGCAUUUCCAGUCCUCACGAACGGUCUCGACCUGAAAUAUCAGCUGUUUAUUUCUCUCCAUUGAUUCUGCCUGACCUGCUGAGUUCCUCCAGUGUUUAGUGUGUUUUGCUCUGGAUUUCAGAAUCAGAAUCAGGUUUAUUAUCACCGGCAUACGUUGGGAAAUUUGUCCACUUAGCGGCAGCAGGAUAAUGCAAUACAUGAGAAAUAUAGAAAAAAUAAAUCAAUUACAUUAAGCAUAUAUAUAUAUAUAUAUAUAUGUAUAUUAAAUAAUUAAAUUUAAAAUUAGUGCAAAAACAGAAAUAAUAAAAGUAAAGCAGUGUCCAUUUUG
Mobula hypostoma (lesser devil ray) is the source of this 1834-nucleotide long non-coding RNA. RefSeq lists it as uncharacterized. The record is from RefSeq and is a predicted model, not a curated record. NCBI's taxonomy places the organism in Eukaryota, Metazoa, Chordata, Chondrichthyes, Myliobatiformes, Myliobatidae. The transcript is spliced from 3 exons.